This 495-nucleotide ribosomal RNA is filed under the name uncultured bacterium. RNAcentral's name for it is "partial 16S ribosomal RNA". It matches the Rfam family "Bacterial small subunit ribosomal RNA", at positions 28 to 507 of the family's 1533-position model. The record is from RNAcentral.
GACGAACGCUGGCGGCGUGCCUAAUACAUGCAAGUAGAACGCUGAAGGGGGAGCUUGCUUCUCUGGAUGAGUUGCGAACGGGUGAGUAACGCGUAGGUAACCUGCCUGGUAGCGGGGGAUAACUAUUGGAAACGAUAGCUAAUACCGCAUAAUAGUAGAUGUUGCAUGACAUUUGCUUAAAAGGUGCAAUUGCAUCACUACCAGAUGGACCUGCGUUGUAUUAGCUAGUUGGUGAGGUAACGGCUCACCAAGGCAGCGAUACAUAGCCGACCUGAGAGGGUGAUCGGCCACACUGGGACUGAGACACGGCCCAGACUCCUACGGGAGGCAGCAGUAGGGAAUCUUCGGCAAUGGACGGAAGUCUGACCGAGCAACGCCGCGUGAGUGAAGAAGGUUUUCGGAUCGUAAAGCUCUGUUGUAAGAGAAGAACGAGUGUGAGAGUGGAAAGUUCACACUGUGACGGUAUCUUACCAGAAAGGGACGGCUAACUACGUG